UAUAUUUUUCCAAGUAUAUACCGCCCUUACUGUUUUAAAAAACAUACGUUGUUGAUUCCUUUUUUAUUUUUUCCUACACCCUGCUGUGGGAUUCUUAAUAGCCUUACCUGCAUAUGAACAAACUGCAAGAGACAGAUACAGUUCCUGACCUAUGAAAGGCUGUUUCAUGACUUAUCCAUCUCACAUGACCACCUUCUAUAUCUACAGGUAUUUAUCAGUUCUUUCUACUUACAUGGCGGAUAUAUCUACAAGUAAACCUACAGGUUCUUUGUAGUUCAAAUGCAGUAUCCUAUAUCAUUUUUAUUAUUAUGCAGAACUGUUUGUUCAGUCACAUAUGCCCUUUACUAGAGAGAGCGAAAACGGAAAACUAUUGUGGAGCAAAUUAGAUGGGCGAACCAAUAGAUAAUUAUGUAGCCGUUCUUGGGUGUCAAUGGAUCACAGUUUACUAAUCAUAUCGAGAAAAUAAAUAUAACUACUUGAGAAUAAAGGGAAAAUGAGAAUAAAGGAUGGUUGUGGUAGUAGAAUGGUAGUUUUGCUUAGGCGCAAUCAUACUUAUGGAGUAGUAAAUAACCUGUCAUGUCAUUCUUCAAGUCUGCACAUAGCAUUGUUAUUGUAGGAGCAGAUUUCUCAUCCUUAAGGAACCUGAACUUGCUUAAUAGCCAAUUUAGUGGUGUAAUACUAGUUUCUUGAUGUCAACUCUAAUGCUUCUGUUUACAUUCCUUGAUGUCAUUUCUGUUUUGCAAUCAUAUGACAUUGUCUCAUGUAAAUGAGUAUGGGCUGCUGUCAAUUUUUUAAUCUACAAUUCAUCUAGUGGUUUUUUACAUGGUAGCUUAAUAUCCUCCUUUUCUAAUAUGCAAACUUCUAAUAUGUGAGGUGAAUAAGUGCAUGAGGUGCGGUUCGCCUUAGGCUGCUCCUGCUCGUCGGCUGUCUGGUCCAGCGUCACUUAACCGUUGUGACCUGGCUGGUUUGGUUCAGCUUCGAGCUGCCUACCGCGGAGUGGGAGGCCGACACGCUCAUGAACAUCGAGGCCAGAUCAAGUACGCUGGUGCACUGCGGCAUGCGGCGGCCUAUUUUGUUGUAGUGGUGUUGUAUAUGGUCUCAUCGAGCACUGAGUAUCCAUAUGUUGUUCUAAUCCUGAUGAUGAUGUUGUAGCGUGGACACCAUAUUCAGUUUGUCUUGAUGCUUUAUCUCUUGUGAUUCUUGUCUGAUGCACAUUGUUCCUUGCAGGGUUAUGAUGAUAUUUCCAAGGAAAUAUACUGACCCAGAUGUGACGAAGGUGCCCAUUUUCCCUUUCUUAAACAUUUCUACUCUGGUUUUUUUCUUCCUGUAGUUCCAGUUUCACAUUGUUAGUGUUUCAUGCCAUACUCAUCAGAUCCUGCUCACAUUCCUUGUGAUUGAGUAGCUUGAUUAGUAUUUCCGCCACUGUCCUAUCUUAGUAAACUGUUUGUUUUUUCAGUAGCUAAAAAGGAAAGUAAAUCUACUAUAUCCUGGUAUUCUAGAAUUUCAGUGUCUCACAGAAGUUACUCUUUGUCCUGCUUUAGUUUGCAAACCUGAUGCUCUAUGUCUGUUCUCAUUUCUUAAGUUUGAAAUGUUUCAAACUUAAGAGUGCCCCCAUCCUUGUUAUUACAUAAUACUAAUCUGUGCAUUUGUCCUUAUAAUUUCAGGGAAGGCCAAAGAAAGAAAACACAAAAACAGUAGCAUGCAACUGCCAAGCCUUGAUCAGACUACACCGUACAACAGAAAAUGGAUGGUAUAUACACGAUUUCAGAACUGAACACAACCACCAUUUUGUCAUCGUCGUGUGGCGAGAAACUACAUUGGCCAUCACACAGGAUCAUUGACACACCAAAUAUAUAGUGAAAUGAUGUGCUCUAUGUUCAUUCUACUGUGUUAUUGAGAUCCUGUGGUGUAAUUAUACUGCUGUGUUAUUUUGAGAAUUAUAUUAUUAUUACCAUUAUAUUCUCCUGUGCUUUUGGUUGACUAACAAAUUGUCCAAUCAAAUGUGGAUCUCCCUUGAAUAAGGGUUGGACUG
RNAcentral lists this long non-coding RNA (2032 nucleotides) under Triticum aestivum (bread wheat). Its description in RNAcentral is "long non-coding RNA (TAES_LNC019249)". Lineage: Eukaryota; Viridiplantae; Streptophyta; Magnoliopsida; Poales; Poaceae. The record is from RNAcentral.